CACUUGUGCAAGAACAUGCCUAGCACCAUUUCAGUGGGCCUUGCUAGGUUUCUCCGUGUGGGGCAUGAGGAGGUGCGGACCAGGCACGCAGCCCAGCGUGGGACUUGUGCCCAAGGUGCUCCUGCUGCGCUGGGGACCGGGGCUUUGCCUUGGGAGCGGGCCCCCGACGAGGCUGGAGGCCAGGCAGCGCAGGGAGCUCACGACUUGCUGUCUUCAACUACAGCCAGUUGUGAAUGCCAAGAGCACACUGCUACCUCCCUGAUAAAUUCUUCUGUCUUCAGCAAAGGAGAAUGCAUAUAAAGCUUGUCAGAUCUGAGAAUGGAGACUGACAAGAAUUGUAAGCAAAAUACAAAACAAAAACCGGCAAGCAAAAAUAAUCAUCAUUCACAAUCUCCUAGACUAUCAGUUAAGAAUCUGAGUCUAUAAGUACAUUAUAUAUUUUCCUGCUUAGAAA
Molecule: long non-coding RNA, 454 nt
Organism: Cygnus atratus (black swan)
Lineage: Eukaryota; Metazoa; Chordata; Aves; Anseriformes; Anatidae
Exons: 3
Source: RefSeq, a predicted model, not a curated record